This 510-nucleotide ribosomal RNA is filed under the name uncultured bacterium. RNAcentral describes it as "bacterial SSU rRNA". It matches the Rfam family "Bacterial small subunit ribosomal RNA", at positions 19 to 518 of the family's 1533-position model. The record is from RNAcentral.
CUGGCUCAGGAUGAACGCUAGCUACAGGCUUAACACAUGCAAGUCGAGGGGCAGCAUGACGAUAGCUUGCUAUGUUGAUGGCGACCGGCGCACGGGUGAGUAACGCGUAUCCAACCUUCCCUAUAGUAGAGGAUAGCCCGGCGAAAGUCGGAUUAAUACUCUAUGUUUUCCAAUGCAGACAUCUAAAAUGGAACAAAGGUUUACCGCUAUAGGAUGGGGAUGCGUCUGAUUAGGUUGUUGGCGGGGUAACGGCCCACCAAGCCUACGAUCAGUAGGGGUUCUGAGAGGAAGGUCCCCCACAUUGGAACUGAGACACGGUCCAAACUCCUACGGGAGGCAGCAGUGAGGAAUAUUGGUCAAUGGGCGAGAGCCUGAACCAGCCAAGUAGCCGUGCAGGAUGACGGCCCUAUGGGUUGUAAACUGCUUUUAUAUAGGGAUAAAGUGACCCACGUGUGGGUUUUUGUAGGUACUAUAUGAAUAAGGACCGGCUAAUUCCGUGCCAGCAGCCGC